Molecule: ribosomal RNA, 730 nt
Filed under: uncultured Acinetobacter sp.
Lineage: Bacteria; Pseudomonadati; Pseudomonadota; Gammaproteobacteria; Moraxellales; Moraxellaceae
Description: bacterial SSU rRNA
Rfam family: Bacterial small subunit ribosomal RNA
Source: RNAcentral
UUUGAUCAUGGCUCAGAUUGAACGCUGGCGGCAGGCUUAACACAUGCAAGUCGAGCGGGGGAGGUUGCUUCGGUAACUGACCUAGCGGCGGACGGGUGAGUAAUACUUAGGAAUCUGCCUAUUAAUGGGGGACAACAUCUCGAAAGGGAUGCUAAUACCGCAUACGCCCUACGGGGGAAAGCAGGGGAUCACUUGUGACCUUGCGUUAAUAGAUGAGCCUAAGUCGGAUUAGCUAGUUGGUGGGGUAAAGGCCUACCAAGGCGACGAUCUGUAGCGGGUCUGAGAGGAUGAUCCGCCACACUGGGACUGAGACACGGCCCAGACUCCUACGGGAGGCAGCAGUGGGGAAUAUUGGACAAUGGGGGGAACCCUGAUCCAGCCAUGCCGCGUGUGUGAAGAAGGCCUUAUGGUUGUAAAGCACUUUGAGCGAGGAGGAGGCUCUCUUGGUUAAUACCCAAGAAGAGUGGACGUUACUCGCAGAAUAAGCACCGGCUAACUCUGUGCCAGCAGCCGCGGUAAUACAGAGGGUGCGAGCGUUAAUCGGAUUUACUGGGCGUAAAGCGUGCGUAGGCGGCUUUUUAAGUCGGAUGUGAAAUCCCCGAGCUUAACUUGGGAAUUGCAUUCGAUACUGGGAAGCUAGAGUAUGGGAGAGGAUGGUAGAAUUCCAGGUGUAGCGGUGAAAUGCGUAGAGAUCUGGAGGAAUACCGAUGGCGAAGGCAGCCAUCUGGCC